CUAUUCUGUUGGCAGCAUCCAUUUGCCUCAGGUAGGAUUAUCAUUCUUAUGGCAGGAAGGCAAAGAGAAAAUAUUACAUAUUUUUUGCAGUCUAGUCUUUGAGAAUUUUGAAGAUCACAGGCUUGCAAAACAGGUUUUAAAAGAGAAAGACGCACUAAAUUCCAAAUACUCUCUCUUUGUGUUUCAAGAGGCAAAUCUGGCUGGCUUAUAGAUUAUUCCAAGCAUAUUGUUCUUUAACAAUGGAUGGUCAUUUGAAAAAUUUAAACGUAGAACAAUUUUGCUUUUUUUUUUUUUUAAUGUUUGUUUUUGUGAGAGAACAUGAGUGGAAUAGGGGCAGAGAGAGAGAGAGAGAGAGAGAGAAUCCCAAGCAGGUUCCACACUGUCAGCGCAGAGCCCAAUGCAAGGCUCAAUCUCCCCCACUGCGAGAUCAUGACCUGAGCUGAAAUAAAGAGUAAGACAUUCAACUGAGUCACCCAAGCACCCCGAACAAUUUUCCUUUAAACAGAGUGUAAGGGAAUCCUUGGAAAGGAAAAUAGAAAAAUCUCUUGUCUUUCAGGUCUGGGGAGCAACAGCAAGACAAAUGUAUGCUAAGAUUUCCCCUCUAAUGAGAGAAUUACUGGGGAGGAUGACAUCUCCUGGGCUGCAAGGAGAGAUUUUGGAGAUUUCUUGUGCUUUUUCAGGCUCAAUAAAUCAUUCCUCAGAUUAGAUUCUUGUUUAUAAUGUUAAGUUAAAUGCAUUGUGCAAUGAGUCUUAGAAUUCGGUAUUCGGUUAUUUCACACGAGUCUCUGCUCUAUUCCCUGCUCCAGCCCAUCUUCACCUCCAGGCAAAUGGAAAAGGUAUAGCACAAGGGAUCCUUUUGUUGAAACCCAUUUAUUGUUUGUUACCUUUUUUUAGACAUUGAAUGUCCUAAUUAUGUUAUUUCAAGAAAGUAAAAAAUGUAUACCUUUUAGAAAAGUGACUGAUUCACACAUAGGGCUUGUUUUGAAUCUGCAGGAAGACUAAUCAGCCCAGGAUAUGGGGUGUCGUUUGUUUCUUUAUCAGUUUGGCUCCCUCUAGCUGUUAGUUUGCAAAUUUUAGUAGGUUCUAAAAUUACACAUUCUUUGCCCCUUUCUAUAGCACAAUUUUUUCAUAGGAAGGUUUUGGGGAAAAUGAUUAACUGAUAGAAUAUAUUUUUAGCAAAGAUCAUAUUUAGCCUUUUUAUGACAAAUUACUAAGGUUCAUAUAUAGGGUUGACAGAUUUAGCAAAUAAAAAUACAGUGUACCCAAUAAAAUUUAUAUUUCAGAUAAAAAAAAACCAAGUAAUUUUUUAGUGUAAGUAUGCUCCAAAUACAUUAAUUGGGCAACUGUAUAUAUUUGCAUAGUGUUUUACAUCUCAUUUAACAAAUGAGGAUUCUGAGGAUCAGAAUUUCCAAUUCCAAACUAUAUUUUUCUCAUUUUCCCAUGGGUUGUUCUUGCUUUUUCAUUCUUAGUUUCCCUGUAAGUUCCCAAAAAAAAUCAGGUCAGAGGUCUGAUCACAGGACACUUGAUUUCAAGUUCCAAGGAUCCUAAGAUAUCUUUGUUUUAACUUCACUAAAGGAAAUGAUUCAAUAAGUGCGGUCUAUGUGCAAGUCCCCAGGAGAUCUUUACCUCUCACUAAAUGAGGAUUCAGUGAACGUAGGAACUAUUUCUGUUUGCCGGGUUCCAUUUGGACCCUAGUGUUGACCUGCAUAUCUAUAGGCAAGGAAUUAAGGCUUAGAGUCACUUGUCCAAGGUGACACUAGUACUAAGUAGGGAGCUGAGAUUUAAUUCACAUAGUCGGCCAGAACAAGAUAGUAGCUGUUCCAGGCUUUGUGGGCCAUGCAGUCUCUGUCAGGACCACUCAAUGCUCCCAUUGUAGGGCAAAAGUAGCCAUGGGCAACACACCAAUGAACAGGCAUGGGUCGCCAAGCUCCAAUAAACUUCAAAAUUUGAAUUUCAAAUAAUUUUCACAUAGUAUGAUUUAUUGUUCAUUUGAAUUUUCCCAAUCAUUUAAAAAUGUAAAUACCAUCCUUAGCUCUAGAGUAGGGAUUGGCAAAGUGAGCCUGUAGGUCAAAUCCUGCCCACUGCCUGUUUUUGUAAAUCAAGUUAUUCAUCAUUUCUCUCCUUGGUGUUCCUCUUGAAGGACAGUCCCAUUAAUUCUUCAUGGUAGAUUAAUUCAUACAGCAGAUGUUGUGAUUAAUCAAGUCCAAUGUUUCAUCUUUCCCUGGUGCAAUAUAAGGCUUUUACUAAAGUAAUUGGCUUAUAUUCUUCAGGAGCUCUUUUAAAAAGUAAAUUGGUAACAUUACAUUGUAUCUAUGCAUUGGCAUAAAACUAGUGGUUAUUUUAAUGAAAUUGUUCUUUAAUCAGAUAGUCCAUUAAGCAUUUUCCUCCUAGUUGGGCACUAAUCUAUGCACAAUAACUAGAGAAAGAAAUACACUUACCUUUGGUGACAAUUCAUCAGGAGAAUAUACUUGAAUUUUUCUUUAGAAUUACAUCUGUGCUAAUCCCUUGUGGAGGGACAAAUAACUGUGAUAGCCAUUGAAAUCCUGGUGGCACCUCACUGAGUAUUCUCACUUGUGCUGCAUCCAGGGGAAGGUGAAGGGAAAAUGGAGACAUCUACUUGGGAGUUUUGUUUUUUUCUAAUACCUAUUAUUGACAUGUUAUAUUUUUUCCUUUCAAGCAGUGACAUUUUUUUCCUCCUAAAAAAGAUUAAAUCUUUUUUUUCAAAUAUUUAUUUUUGAGAGAGAGAGAGACAGACAGACAGACAGACAGAGUGUGAGCAGGGAGGGGCAGAAAGAGGCACAGAGACACAGAAUCUGAAGCAGACUCCAGGCUCUGAGCUGUCAGCACAGAGACCAAUGUGGGGCUAGAACUCACGAACUGGGGAUCGUGACCUAAGCCAAAGUAGGAUGCUUAACUAACUGAGCGACCCAGGUGCCCCAAAAUAGAUUAAGUCUUAAGCCCAAAACAAAAUUUAUAGCAUCUGAGACAAAAGGUGAAUUUGAAAUGUCAAGAUUUAGAUUUUUAAUUAUUUUUACUGUGUCUUCUUAACUUUCAAAAGAAAUGUAUGAAUCAUACUGGAUUAUGGGAAAUGGUUAAGGUAUUAGGUAUUGUAGGGUGUCAGAAUAUGCACCCCAAUAUAUACCACGUUUGCAUAAGGAUUAUUUUGAGCUGAAGGCAACUAAGAAGCAGAUACAAGAAAAGGUCUCUGCCCUCCCCCUAUUUGCCUGAAAGCAAGACAUACGUUUACAAAGGUGUCCCCCUUCCUUCUCUAUUAGUAAGGACCAAAAUUAAUCUCCAGAGACAACUUUAGACCUUAAGCACCCUGGAGACAGCACCAGAGGAAUCUACAUAACAACUUCUACUAAACUUUUAUUUACUAUUAGUUUGUCAUAAUGUGCCUUCCCACAGUUUGGCUUGCCAGAGACUCAAGGUUCUUUUCCCUUGUCUCAUCGCUUCUGUAACACAUCAGUGUUCCCUUGCUGAGAUUCCACAUAAGCCCGAGUUCUAAGCACCACUUUGAGUUACUCAUCUCUGAAUACUCCAGGUGUAAGGAUGGUACACAUGCUAAUGAACUUUUGCUUGCUUUUCUCUCUUUGAUUUGUCUUUUAUCAGCCUAGUUUAUAGGGCCCCAGCCAGAAAACCUAGGAGAAUGUAGGAAAAAUAAUUUCCGUUCCCCUACAGUAUCUUGAAAUUAUGUUCUCUGCUUCACAAAGGGAUUGUGCUCCUGGUUCAGCAUAAAUCCAUUCCCCCAAACACAUCCUCUGAAGCCUGAGACCCUGGUUAUGGCAGGUGAGGAAAAGAAGAGUCUUUACAGAUGCAGUUGUCACCUCUAGCUGGGUGUCAGAAUUUUCUGGAGGGCUUUUAUUUUUUAAAUGCUUAUUUAUUUUGAGAGUGAGUGAGUGUGAGCAGGGGAGGGGCAGAGAGAGGGAGAGAGAGAAUCCAAAGCAGGCUCCACACUGAGCCCUGGAGAGCUUUUAAAACUGAAGUUUUGGGGCACCUGGGUGGCUCAGUUGGGUAAGCUUCAGACUCCUUUUUUUUUAAUUAAAAAAAUUUGUUUAACAUUUAUUCAUUUUUUUCAGAGACAGAGACAGAGUAUGAGGGAGGAGGGGUGGAGAGAGAGGGAGACACAGAAUCCAAAGCAGGCUCCAGGCUCCAAGAUGUCAGCACAAAGCCUGAGCCUGACACGGGGCUCAGACCCAUGAACCGUGAGAUCAUGACCUGAACUGAAGUUGGACACUUAACCGACUGAACCAUCCAGGCACCCCUAAGCUUCAGACUCUUGAUUUUGGCUCAGGUCAUGAUCUCAUGGUUAAUGGGAUUGAGCCCCACGUAGGCUCCGUGCUAAUAGUGUGCACCUCCCUUGCUUGCACUCACUCACUCUCUCUCUCAAAAAAAAAAAAAAAAAAUAUUAAAUCCACAGUUUCCCUAGAGUUUUGGAUUCAGUAGGUCUGGGCUGAGGCUCCAUAGUUAAGAACACUUCCUCUUGUAGGAUUGAGUAGGAAUCUGUAGGAAUUUCCUGUGGCUGCUGGAAUAAAUUACCACAAACUGGGUGGCUGAAAACAACACAAAUUUAUUAUCUCAAUGGUGGAGGGCGAUGCUCCAUCCCCAGCACUCUGCCACACACAAACAUCACUAAUUGACCCACUCUUCAGCUAGUCUUUGCUUUUGCAAGAGAGGAGGGCAAAGAGAGAGAGAGAGAAAGAGGACUAGGGUGUCAGAGAGGUCUUUUUUGGCUCAGCCACCUUUGCCCUCCUUGACGUCUGCAUGACUAAAGUAGGGAUUUUACCACAAGGAGAGUAUCCUAUAAAAAUCCCAUCCUCGGGCACCUGGGUGGCUCAGUUGGUUACACAUCCCACUCUUGAUUUAGGCUCAGGUCAUCAUCUCACAAUUCAGGGGGUCGAGCCCCCACAUCAGACUCCACACUGAUGAUGCCGAGCCUGCUUGAGAUUCUCUCUCUCUUCUCCUUUCUUGCUCAUGCUCUCUCUCUAAGUAAAUAAACUUAAAAAAAAAAAAGUCCAUCCUCUUUGCAGCCAGUGCAAUAAUACACAUUUCAAACUCAGUGAAUCCCCCAAAGCCAUGAAGUUGUUGCCAUGGUAGGCAACAACUGUGCCCUAGCAAUACCUGUUGGUCAUCACAACACUAACCAUGACUUAAGGCCCCACACUGGAGAGAAAGUAGGGCGUACAUAGUCUUGAUCAUGGCCUUGGGCUUGCUCCAAGGGCACUUUGGCUCAGCAGUGAGACAUGUCUAUCUCUGUCUCCCAGAACUUUGUGGUCAAGAAUUUAGCAUCCUGAGUUAUGCUUGCUUCCACUCCACUGUUCACAUCUGACCACUCUAUUGGUCCCAGAAGACUCUCGAUGUGGUUUCUUCCCUCUCUUCCUCUUGAACUUAGCUUCCUUACCAGAUAGAAUCAGGGCCUCUGUUUCCUCGGUAGUGCUCUGCUUUCCUGGUAACUUGGUCCAAUAGAGCCCAGUUUCAUAGACUGCUUCCAGUAGCUCCACAUCUGCCCUGUGCUUGUGGCAAAAGUCUUUCUGGUUUAGUACAUAUGCAGAGGUCUUUUCUCCUGUCAGUGUGUGUUUAGAAAUCUGACAUAUGAUUCCUGACAACACACUUUACUGCCGAGUCUCCCUCUGAAUGUUUCCAAGCAUUCUGCCACAGGAACCAGUGGGUUGACAGCACUAAAUCCACCCAAUCCACUACUGAAGGUGUGAGUCCAUAAAUUCUUUCUUAAACCUCUCUUGCUCUCUGCCUCUGAGGCUCCCAUUGCUGCAACAUUUUGUGGCAAGUUCCAAAGAUGGACAAAAAAAGUCCCUAUCUAGUUCCUGGCCUGCAUUCCACAGUAACAUACCUGGUUUCUGGUAUCUUCUCACCUCAGAUGAGUUUCCCCACUUGCUAAUAGCCAGGAUCAUACCCAACCUGAUACUGCAGGCUCCAGGGGUUCCCAUUUUAUAGAUAAAAUAGAAUAUGGUCUUAAUCCAAACAUGAUUGCCACAGAUCCUUCACUUUCCCAUGAAAGUUGCCAAUUUCUCUUUUUAAAUUAUAUGUCCACUCUGGACCUUGAGUGUAAAAUGGAGAGAGAGUUCAGAAAAGAUAAUAUCUCCCCCCAAAUUAAUGAUUACAAAAAUGGGGAGAUUAAAAGCAAAAUGAUGCUGUAGCAAUAAAAAAGGUGUGUGUGUGUGGGGGGGGGGGUGUCACACUUAUAUCAUAAUCUUUAAAAACUCAUCAACAAGAGAGAAAAACAGCAGAUUCCCACUAUCUUCUUGACUGAGCAGGGUUCUAGAUGCUUCUAAUUCAUCCCAGUUCCCACCCCCAGGAGCAGUAUAAGAGGAAGGUAGGUGAGUGGGGGGGAAAUCCCAUAAAAAUCACCUUAAUACUCCCAACAAAAGAGAGACAAGUCAAAAAGAUACAUAGGAGCCCAGGGCUCAGUUUUCCUCAAGAACAGAAGAUGCUGCUUUCCACUCACCAUCUUGGUUGCUCUUUGCUAGAGAAGAAGGCAGAGCAGUGGAAAUCAACCAGUGGUGAUUAUAGCAAUAAAUGGAGAUUGGGGAAAAUAGAAGACAAAAUGAAAAUAAGAUAAGAUUUUAUGAGGAAAGAGGGGUCAAAGGAAAAAUCAGAGUGGUCAGUUUCAUCUGUUUGUUUUCCUUUAUUGAUCUGUUGUCCUCAGCAUCAAAUAUGAUGUUAACUGGUGCUUUGACACACAUGUAUUUAAAAUCAUACAAACCUUUCUACUAUAGAUUUUUUAAAUCAGAAACGGGUGCUGAAAGUAGUAAAAAUUUUUGGCAUCUAUAGAGAUAUGUUUUCCUUUUUAAUAAAUAUGUGAACUAUAUUCAUAGAUUUAUUAAUACUGAAUCAUUUUUACAUUCCUGAGAUGAACUCCACUUAGCUGGUCUCUAUUAUUCUUUAAAAGUACUGUUAAACUAUAUUUGCAAAUAGUUUAUUCAAGAUUUUGGCUUCCAUAUUAAAAACCUAAAUUGGUCUGUAAUUCUUUCCCAAUCUCUGGCACCAAGGCAGGUUGGUUUGACAGCCACCAUGAUGAGAAACUUCUGACUAGAUUCUAGUUUAUUUCCAGCUGUACCCACUGUCAGAGAUAACAGGAAGAACUCCAAAACGUGAGCAAGACAUCAGCUGCAUUCCCUUGUUUCUGCAACUAUCAUGCUGUCUCUAUUUGCCCUGAAUGUAUACAUGGAUACUACUACCACAGAGUUACACACACACACACACACACACACACGUUUUCCUUUUGGAGGAUCUAGGGCAGAGCAACUGGAAAUGGAUUCCUCUCACUGCCCAGGAAACCAUCCUGGUAACCUAGAGGGGUUUCCAGGUGCACAAAGACCUGUGCUGCCCAUUCUACACCCUUUUCAGGACAUCAGAAGUACAUAAACUAUCCACAUAUCGUUAAUCAGGCCACCUAUAGAUACGUCUUGAAACGCACACAAUGACCUGUCAGUAUUGUAACUGGAACGUGGUGAUUCUCUUUGUAUCCACCAAUAAGACACAAAGCCCAAAGACACACAGUGUCUUUGUUGGUGAACCUCUCUAGGCAUAGAGGAGUCAGUGCCAGUUCUGAGUCUCAAAUUUACAUGGUAUUCCUACUAUUAACGCACACAAAAUUUCUAGUGGAGAAUGGAAUGUACAGAAUAGGAUGAAGAGCUUGAUGUGUACAAUCAACAAUUCCAGUCUUGAUCAUGAAACCCAAGACAACCAUAUACUACAUUAUAUUCUUUCCUGUUAUUCUAAAGUAUCAAGAUCAAAAAUAAGAAGCGCCAGGAUUCACAAUUAUUCAAAUAGGGUCAAGACACCUCUAUAAAAAUAUAUAAUUUCAUCAGUGAAAAUUUUGCCUUAAGUCCCAAUAUCUAUUCCAUUUCUUCUCCCUUUUUUUUAACCUUACAAUGUGUUGAGGUACUUCAGAGUCCAUCGAGGGGUGAGGAGGUGAGGGAGCAAAGGUUGAUGGAUUUUUAGUUUAAUGUUCUAUUGAUAAACCUGAUAAACCUGAUCUGUUGAUCUCAGGACCAGAUCAACAGAAAUGACAAAUAAGCUUUGCAAAAACAGAGGCAGUGUUUAUGCCUCUGAUCCCUAACAGCUCGUACAGGGUGUAAGGUCCUUUGAUUUGGAUAAGCCUUCAAUUAUAAACAAAUCCUUGAGUGGCAAAUACGAUAUCAGUAAAACCAUAAUACUUUAAAAAUACAUGUUUAAUCCCUUAAUAGGCUUAAUAACAAUGGAUCUUUUAAUUUCUGAGUGUAGUCUUCACCUGAUUGUGUGAAAUGUACUCAACCAAAGAUGUAAUAAUUCUGAUUUUUUUUCUAAGUGUGGCUCAAAGCCUAGAUGCUAUCUGAAGAAAUACAAAAAAACAAAAACUUCAGGAAUAGAAUUUUCUAGUUAUUUUGAAAUUUCCAGGCACUUCAAAUUACAAAAACUACUUAACCAUUUCUGUAUCACAGCAAACAAAAUAAAACCAAAUUAGUUGACUAUUGGAAUGUGAAACACUCUUAUUGGAGUGUGAAAGUGUUCCAAAUCUGGAUAGUGGUGAUGAUUACACAAUUUAGCAAAUUUGCACAAAAUCAUUGAAUUGUAUACUUAAAACAGGUGAGUUUUAUGGCAUGUAAAUUAUACCUCAAGAAAGUUACAUGCAACAAAUUAGUUGCAAUGCUUCCUAUGACCACAGAAUGUCAGCAAAGUCAGCCAUGAAGGAUUUUUCCAUAAACCUAAUUUUCUAAGAAGAAGCCAGCAACUGCUAGAUAUAGCUGUCUUUCACUACAGAAAUGCCUUUGUUCUGGCUCUCAGGUGCUUGAAGUUAUCAAAGAGUUAGGCAUCAGGAAUAAGGAAACAUUUUCUUAAGUUUUUUUAAUGCUUAUUUAUUUUUGAGAGAGAGACAGAGUGCAAGCAAGGGAGGGCAGAGAGAGAGGGAGACACAGAAUCUGAAGCAGGUUCCAGGCUCUGAGCUGUCAGCACAGAGCCUGACGUAGGGGUCAAACUCACAAACUACAAGAUUGUGACCCGAGCAAAGUCAGACACUUAACCGAGUUACCCAUGCGCCCCAGGAAACAUUUUCAAAUGUUGUCUUAUACAGAUCUACAAUGAUUGAAGCUAUCAAAUCAUUUUAUUCAUGGUAUAUACAAUAAAUAAAACUAACCAAGCCACAAUAGUUUUGAAUAAGCUAUUCAUUCUUACUGAAAAUAACAAAAUCAUUAAAACUAGUUUUGGACUACUUAUACAUUGUAGUAAACAUAUAAACUUUGAUUUUUUUACAACUAUUUUAUCUUACAUUGUACAUUUUAAAGGGGAAUUUUUAAAAUGGUCUAAUUCCCUUUAAGUUAGACAAACAUUAACCAGUGAACUUUUCAAGUAACUAGGUAAUAUGAAGAAAUCUUUUAAAAGGAGUACGGUCUCUCUCAUUACUUCCAUAGAUCUUCUGAAAACAUAAAAUACAUUGGAUUAUAGGAAGGUAAACCUAAUACACAUUGAAAACCACAACUAUUUCUGGGGUAAGACUUCCUUUUGCUCAGUGCAGCCCUGUUAUGAUUAAGGGCGGAGGAAACUUGUGAGCUGGAAAUUUUUCUCUCACAUUUUAAGCAGAUUUACAAGUAAAGUUUACCUUAUUUCUAAGGUUUGUCCAAAUAAAGUUUUCAAGUGUCAAAAUAUUAACCUAGGUUUCCCAAAUCAAAAUAGAUGCCCUGCCUUCAUCAUGAGGUCAGUUUCAAUCUAAGGGCUUUUUGCUUUUGAAUUCUGGUUAAUACUAAAAGCAACGUGAAUGACAAUUUCUUGGAUUAAUGAUUUGAAUACCAGGAAUCCAGAAACUGCUCACAGAGAUAAGAAAAAAAGGAUCUGAUGAGAUGAUACUUACAUUAACUUUUCUCAGAAAUUUGAGGGUCAACUGUUUCCUUCACAGUAUCACCAAAUGUCAAGGUCAAAGUAGAGAAGACAGAGGUUAAGUGACAUGUUAACUGAUCUGCCCAAAGUGACAAAGGUGGUUAAUUGAACAGUUAGGACUAGAACCAGGUCUGGUGGGCUCUCAGCCAUAGACCCUAGAUUCAAACACAUGUCCAGGGCACCUGGCUGGCUCAGUCAGUUGGGUAUCCAACUUUGACUCCGGUCAUGAUCUCACAGUUUGUGGGUUAGAACCCUGCAUCAGGAUCUGUGCUGACAGCUUGGAGCCUGGAGCCUGUUUCGGAUUCUUUGUCUCCCUCUCUCUCUGCCCCUCCCCUGCUCAUGCCCUGUCUCUCUCUGUCUCUCUCUCUUUCCUCUCUCUCAAAAAUAAGCGUUUUUUUAAACAAAAUCACAUCCGUUAUUCAUUCUGCAAUUUAUAUGAUCUGUAACAUUGGGGAUUUUUGUUGUUGUUUCUGUAGUUCUUUCUAUCCAGGGCAGAUUUGAAAAACACAGAUAACCACUGUCUGAUUCAAGAACCGUGAAGUAAGUCAUGAGACGAUGCUUGGGAUGCUAAAUGCUCUGCAAGAAAUAUUCAAGUAAUUAGUUAAGGUGAAAAUGCCUUAUGACUGAAAAAUUACACAUGGAAUCCUAAUGUGCUCUGGUGAAUGAAGUCUAUGCCAGCAGUGGAAGGGGCCCCUAGCUGUUCUGCAAUCCACGGCAACCCAGUCUUUUUCACUCUCUACCAUUAUGCUGGGAGCUCCAGUUACUAAGCACUGGUCUGCCAACUUCCCCUGCCCUCCCCCAAACUGCAUGAUCCUAUAAGUAUUUCUGGAGCAAGAGCAACCAGGCAUUUAAUGACGUAAGUCAUGUCUCUUGACUUGAAAGAUUAAUGGGUCAGGCAUGUUAUGUACCCUUGAUAAAAGAGAUUUGUGUUCUGCCCUUCAGGGUCUAAAUUCCCAACAAAAUCCAGCUGGGUAGUAUCAAUUCAGACAUCUCAAUAAAAGGAUAAAUGAAACCAUGCAAAUAAUACAGACCUAUACUAUGCCUGAAAAAAUAUGUAUAUUUUUUGCAUUGUCUAAAAGCUGCAAUCUUAGUGGCAGCAAAUGUGUUUUUAUUUUUAACACUAUGAGCUAAGUAAGGAAAAGGAUAGUAAGAAUUCUGGCUGAUCAAAUUAGCAUACAUGCCUGUGUAUUUUAAAACAUUUUUGUAUGUGAAAAAAAAAUCUGUGUAUUUAUUUUUUAAAAAAUUCAUAUUGAAAUGGAUUAAUGUUACAAAAUCUGGAAUUUCUAACAUUCUGCUAUUAUUCCUAAUUUCAUAUAUCACAUCAAAAGUCCCUGAAUUUCAGUUGUUCAAAGGCAUAGCACUACUCUGUCACUAAUCUAACUUCUAAGCAAUUGCCAAAUAUCAUCAGUGCCUUAAUCUGCAAUCACAUUUUUUUGAGCUUUCAAGCUAAGAUAACAAAACAAAUGCUGAUGUUGACAUCUACUAAGCAACAAGAUAUACUACAUUUUUUAAGCUUGAAAAUAUCACUGCUCUCCCACAGUGAAUGAAAGAUGUACUUUCCCAGUAUUGUCAAUAAUUUCUAGUGAUAUGAUCAUGCCCCCCGAUCCUUUGGAACCCCACAGUCUGAUAACAGGUUAAGAUAAGAAUUAAAAUGCUAUCCAUGGCCACAACUGAGUGACACCCACACUCAGUAUGGGGGGCAAGACUCUUUAACAUUGGUCUUAUUUUCCAUUAUGUUCUAACCACCUAAGAUCACUAAUUAUAAGCAAUUCAAACAAAAUCAGCAAUUUUGCUACAAAAUGAUUCAUUUUAAAAUCACUUAUUUACCCAUCAGUUUUUAAGCCUUCAUAGACUAAGAAUGGUUAAAACAGAAUAAGGAGUUACAGAAAUAGCACAUGCAUCAUGUUGGGCUGUGGCUAUAACACUAAAUAGUCUUGUAUGCUCAGUAAAUAUUGGAUGGGUGCAACCAUCCAUGACUUAGGGGAAAACUGGGUGAGGCCUGACCCCAGAGUGUGUUCUCCAAAAUUUAAUGUGCUUCAGAAACAGGAGUGCAACUGGGUAAAAAUAGAAAUGCUCAUACCUACUAAAUAAAAAUUCUAGAUAUAUGGAAUGCCAAACAAUAAACAUAUAGGUACAGUCAUGUUAUCCUUUAUCUAAAAAGCUGAUUUUUAAUAGCUUCCCUAUUAGGCUACUUACUUCCUCAAAAGUGUAUCAAUAGUUACUGUGUUUAAAAGGUAGGAAUUUUACAUUUUUUUAAUGUUAAUCUUUGAGAGAGAGAGAGAGAGACAGAGCAUGAGUAGGGGACAGGCAGAGAGAUAGAGAGAGACACAGAAUCUGAAGCAGGCUUCAGGCUCCGCUGUCAGCACAGAGCCUAUGCGUGGCUCAAACCUAUAAACUGUGAGAUCAUGACCUGAGCUGAAAUCAGAUACCCAACUGACUGAGCCACCCAGGCACCCCUAAAACAUAAGAAUUUUAAAGUUUAUUCCUAAGUCAAACCCUGACACUGGUCUGCCAUAAGUCCGUGCUUUCCAGAGCUCAUCAAACACUUGUUUGGUGUUAAGGCUUGUUGAGAGCUAUUUGUUCUAGAGACCCUUACACCGUAUGUCAAAUGUCCUCAUAAAGUAGUAGACCACGACAGACCUGACAGGGUCCCUGCAUCCUCCCACUGUUUCCCAGAGACCAGCGGGACUUUCCUACAGUGAGUGACAAGGCAUUCCUUCAUGAGCUUCCCUCUCAUCAGACCACAGGGGCAAAAAAAAAAAAGAAAAGAAAAAAAUCAAGGCAUCAUGGUAAUAUAGAUUACUAUACUAGUUAAAAGGUCUGAGUAUUCUGGUCUCUCCAUGGCCAAGAGCUAUCAGUAGUUAAGUAAAUUAACCUGAAAUUUGGCUUUCUUGUCUAUAAAAUUAAAGGAGUAAACUAUAGUUGAUCCUUGAACAAUGCAGGGGUUGGGGUGCUGACAUCCCCUUCCCUACUGUAAAAAUCCAACCCUUUUGACCCCCCCGCAAAACUUUAAUAGCCUACUAUUGACCAGAAGACUUAAUGAUAACAAUUAACACAUUUUAUAUAUUGUGUACUGUAUUCUUACAAUAAACUAAGCUAGAGGAAGAAAAUGUUAAGAAGAUCAUAAAACACAUUUACAGUUUUGUACCAUAAAAUAAUCAUGUACAAGUGGACCCAUGAACUUCAAACCAUAUUGUUUAAGGGUCAACUGUACACUUUCGGGAUUUCUUUCACCUUGAUGAUUUGACUUCAAUGAGUACAACUGUUGAUGUGAUGUGCCAAUAGCCAAACUACAGAGUCAUUUUCUUCUGAUCAAAAUCAGGGAUUUUAGAAACCAGAGAAACUAAUAAAUGCUUUUGCUCAUUAGGAAAUAAAAAGUUUGGAGAUUUCUAGAUCUAACCACUUGGAACCACAGAACUAUCACCACAGCAGCCAUCACCUGCUUGGCCAGCAUGCACUUCUUAUGGUCCCUCUCCUACAUUUGAUCCAGGCUAGGUCAGAGCCCUGAGGCAGAGGCAUUGUGUCCCUUGCCUGGUUCUUUCAUUUUUUUAUUUCUUUUUUUUUUAAUGUUUAUUUAUUUUUGAGAGAGAGAGAAACAGAGAGACAGAGUGCGAGGGGGGGAGAUGGAGAGAGAGAGGGAGACAAAGAAUUUGAAGCAGGCUCCAGGCUCAGAGUUGUCAGCACAGAGCUUGCACAGGGCUUGAACUCAUGAACUGCAAGAUCAUGGCCUGAGCCAAAGUCUGACACUCAACUGACUGAGCUAUGCAGGUGCCCCUCCCCUUGCCUGGUUCUGCUCUUGAUCUUGAGCUCUGACAGCUAUGGAACCUUAGGCAAGUUACUUGCCCUUGUCUUCAAGCCUGUUUCUUCAUCUGCCAACUGGGGAUGACAAUAAAAGCACCAACACUUGUUGGGUUAUGAGAAUUAACUGUGAUAAGCCCUAUAUGGCACAUUGUUUGGUGCCUGGCACAGAGUAAGCACUCUGUAAAUGGCAGCAAUUAUUUUUGAUGACAGCCGCAUGGUUAUAGCAUCCAUAGAACUCAGCAUGUGACUGAAGAAAGUCCAAAAAAAAAAAAAAAAGUCCAUGAAGUCACAUGGUUGUCACAGCCCCUGGUCCUCUCUUCUUCUGGACUUACUCUUACUAAUGCAGCCUCACUUGUUGACUUGAAGGAAUGAAUGAACGUGCUGACUCUCUAUAUCUCUUUCCAGAAACUCCAGAUCACACAGCUCUGACGAUGGGAUAAUAAUUUAAGGAAGCAGGUGGCAUGAUCGAUGAAUUAAAGGUAUCUCUUUCACAAAAAAGAAACUGGUAAUAGUGGUUGCCCUCCCAGGAGGUGGCAUCAAAUCAGGGACAGGAGACUGACUUUUCACCAUAUGCCAUUGUAGCUCUUGAAAUUUGAACCUCAAAUAUGUGUUACCUACAUUAAAAAAUGUUCUUUAACGUGCUAAUUUUUGAAAAGUAAAAAGUCAAUUUGUAACUUAGAAGAGCAUAUGCCUUCCCCUCAUGAGAGUUGGGAAGCUGAACGUCCAGCCUCACAUGCCCUUCAGAGUAUCUGAGUGCCCGUGGUUGCUACCCUGCCCAUGCACCCCCACAACUGGGAGGUGAUGGGCAGACCCCAUGGGAGGUGGGACAAAGAGAAG
This 14508-nucleotide long non-coding RNA is filed under the name Lynx pardinus (Iberian lynx). The record is from RNAcentral. Lineage: Eukaryota; Metazoa; Chordata; Mammalia; Carnivora; Felidae.